RNAcentral lists this ribosomal RNA (495 nucleotides) under uncultured bacterium. RNAcentral describes it as "partial 16S ribosomal RNA". It matches the Rfam family "Bacterial small subunit ribosomal RNA", at positions 28 to 507 of the family's 1533-position model. The record is from RNAcentral.
GACGAACGCUGGCGGCGUGCCUAAUACAUGCAAGUAGAACGUUGAAGGAGGAGCUUGCUUCUCCGGAUGAGUUGCGAACGGGUGAGUAACGCGUAGGUAACCUGCCUGGUAGCGGGGGAUAACUAUUGGAAACGAUAGCUAAUACCGCAUAACAGUAGAUAUCGCAUGAUAUCUGCUUGAAAGGUGCAAUUGCAUCACUACCAGAUGGACCUGCGUUGUAUUAGCUAGUUGGUGAGGUAACGGCUCACCAAGGCGACGAUACAUAGCCGACCUGAGAGGGUGAUCGGCCACACUGGGACUGAGACACGGCCCAGACUCCUACGGGAGGCAGCAGUAGGGAAUCUUCGGCAAUGGACGGAAGUCUGACCGAGCAACGCCGCGUGAGUGAAGAAGGUUUUCGGAUCGUAAAGCUCUGUUGUAAGAGAAGAACGAGUGUGAGAGUGGAAAGUUCACACUGUGACGGUAUCUUACCAGAAAGGGACGGCUAACUACGUG